This 479-nucleotide ribosomal RNA is filed under the name uncultured bacterium. RNAcentral describes it as "partial 16S ribosomal RNA". It matches the Rfam family "Bacterial small subunit ribosomal RNA", at positions 28 to 523 of the family's 1533-position model. The record is from RNAcentral.
GACGAACGCUGGCGGCGUGCCUAACACAUGCAAGUCGAGCGAGUGAAUCUCCUUCGGGAGUGAAGCUAGCGGCGGACGGGUGAGUAACACGUGGGCAACCUGCCUCAUAGAGGGGAAUAGCCUUUCGAAAGGAAGAUUAAUACCGCAUAAGAUUGUAGCUUCGCAUGAAGUAGCAAUUAAAGGAGCAAUCCGCUAUGAGAUGGGCCCGCGGCGCAUUAGCUAGUUGGUGAGGUAACGGCUCACCAAGGCGACGAUGCGUAGCCGACCUGAGAGGGUGAUCGGCCACAGUGGGACUGAGACACGGCCCAGAGUCCUACGGGAGGCAGCAGUGGGAAUAUUGCACAAUGGGGGAAACCCUGAUGCAGCAACGCCGCGUGAGUGAUGACGGCCUUCGGGUUGUAAAGCUCUGUCUUCAGGGACGAUAAUGACGGUACCUGAGGAGGAAGCCACGGCUAACUACGUGCCAGCCGCCGCCGUAA